This 468-nucleotide ribosomal RNA is filed under the name uncultured bacterium. RNAcentral's name for it is "partial 16S ribosomal RNA". It matches the Rfam family "Bacterial small subunit ribosomal RNA", at positions 28 to 507 of the family's 1533-position model. The record is from RNAcentral.
GACGAACGCUGGCGGCGUGCUUAACACAUGCAAGUCGAACGGAAAGGCCCUGCUUUUGUGGGGUGCUCGAGUGGCGAACGGGUGAGUAACACGUGAGUAACCUGCCCUUGACUUUGGGAUAACUUCAGGAAACUGGGGCUAAUACCGGAUAGGAGCUCCUGCUGCAUGGUGGUGGUUGGAAAGUUUCGGCGGUUGGGGAUGGACUCGCGGCUUAUCAGCUUGUUGGUGGGGUAGUGGCUUACCAAGGCUUUGACGGGUAGCCGGCCUGAGAGGGUGACCGGCCACAUUGGGACUGAGAUACGGACCAGACUCCUACGGGAGGCAGCAGUGGGGAAUAUUGCACAAUGGGCGGGAGCCUGAUGCAGCAACGCCGCGUGCGGGAUGACGGCCUUCGGGUUGUAAACCGCUUUCGCAUGUGCCGAAGCGUGAGUGACGGUAAUGGGUAAAGAAGCACCGGCUAACUACGUG